This 253-nucleotide ribosomal RNA is filed under the name uncultured bacterium. RNAcentral describes it as "partial 16S ribosomal RNA". It matches the Rfam family "Bacterial small subunit ribosomal RNA", at positions 524 to 776 of the family's 1533-position model. The record is from RNAcentral.
CACGUAGGGCGCAAGCGUUGUCCGGAAUUAUUGGGCGUAAAGCGCUCGUAGGCGGUCUGUUGCGUCCGCUGUGAAAACUCGGGGCUUAACCCCGAGCCUGCAGUGGAUACGGGCAGACUAGAGGUAGGUAGGGGAGAAUGGAAUUCCCGGUGUAGCGGUGAAAUGCGCAGAUAUCGGGAGGAACACCGGUGGCGAAGGCGGGUCUCUGGGCCGAUACUGACGCUGAGGAGCGAAAGCGUGGGGAGCGAACAGG